AUUGAACGCUGGCGGCAUGCCUAACACAUGCAAGUCGAGCGGAUGAAGGGAGCUUGCUCCUGGAUUCAGCGGCGGACGGGUGAGUAAUGCCUAGGAAUCUGCCUGGUAGUGGGGGAUAACGUCCGGAAACGGGCGCUAAUACCGCAUACGUCCUGAGGGAGAAAGUGGGGGAUCUUCGGACCUCACGCUAUCAGAUGAGCCUAGGUCGGAUUAGCUAGUUGGUGGGGUAAAGGCCUACCAAGGCGACGAUCCGUAACUGGUCUGAGAGGAUGAUCAGUCACACUGGAACUGAGACACGGUCCAGACUCCUACGGGAGGCAGCAGUGGGGAAUAUUGGACAAUGGGCGAAAGCCUGAUCCAGCCAUGCCGCGUGUGUGAAGAAGGUCUUCGGAUUGUAAAGCACUUUAAGUUGGGAGGAAGGGCAGUAAGUUAAUACCUUGCUGUUUUGACGUUACCAACAGAAUAAGCACCGGCUAACUACGUG
RNAcentral lists this ribosomal RNA (484 nucleotides) under uncultured bacterium. RNAcentral's name for it is "partial 16S ribosomal RNA". It matches the Rfam family "Bacterial small subunit ribosomal RNA", at positions 30 to 507 of the family's 1533-position model. The record is from RNAcentral.